Molecule: long non-coding RNA, 2073 nt
Organism: Gallus gallus (chicken)
Lineage: Eukaryota; Metazoa; Chordata; Aves; Galliformes; Phasianidae
Source: Ensembl
GCUGGUGAAGGGUCUGGAGCACCAGCGUCACUUUUAUAGGGAGCGGCGGAGAGAACUGGGAUGUUUGGUCUGCAGGAGGCUCAGUGGAGACGUUAUCGCUCUCUACCAGGACCUGAGGGAAGGCUGUGGCAAGGUGGCGGUUGGCCUCUUCUCCCAGGUAACGGCAACAAGACGAGAAGGAACAGCUUUAAGCUGCACCAAGGGAGGUCCCGGUUGGAUCUGGGAAAGCUUCUUCUUGGAAAGAAUGGCCAAGAGCAAGAACAAGAAUGGCACUGGAACAGGCUGGGCUGCUCGGGGAAGUGCUGGAGUCACUGUCCCUGGGGUGUUCAAGAAACGUGUAGAUGUGUCACUUGGGGACAGGGCUUGUUGGUCUUGGUGGUGGCGGGGUGGCAGUUGGACGGUUGGAGGCAGGGCGACAUAAGAUAGGCAGGUGGAAUCCUUGGGAAACGUAGAGAUCAAAUGGAAGAGAUUAGGCAAUUGGGAAGACAAAUGAGUGGGAUAUGGACCUCAGCUGCUGCCAUCUCAGAGGGACCCUGGGAACAAGAUGGAGGCCAGUGCAAAGCGUGUGCAGGCGUGGGGUGGGCAGGAGGAGGCAGAGCGCCCUACCCAGGCUCCACCUCACAGGCGUGUCAUGGUUCCAGAGGUGGGUGGGGUGCACCGUGGCGCCAUCACAAUGGAACUCAAUUCUGAGCUCACGGGGUGGUCCCACCUCUGCUAUUGCGGUCGUGACCAGCGUUUAGCGAUGAUGGUUGACGGCAGCUCUCUCUUUGUCCCCGCUACCCUUGUCCUUCUCUACGGCCUCAUGUUUCUGGUGGCCGGAAUCUCCCUGCUCACCGUGAUCCCAAACCUGCAGGUAGAGGAGAUAUGAGGCUGGGGGUGACUUGUGGCUGGGGGUGACUUGUGGCUGGGGGUGAGAGCCGGGGUCAGGUGUGUGGGACCCCUCAGGAGUGUAACUGUGCCCUGUCCAUGUGCCCGUAGGCCGGCAGAAAAUGCUUUUGGUGGAGGAGAUGGUGGCGGCAAGCAGCGGCACCAGAGCCAGGUGCUGAGAGACAGGCAGGCAGGCACAGCAGUCCCCGGAGCGAGCCAUGGUGCCCCUGCAGUAAGGCUGACCAGGAGCUCCAGCAGCUGGUCCUGUCGGGACUGCCUGGGUGCAGGCCUGUGCUGGGCCCCGACUUCUGGCAGGCGGCCUGGAGGGACCUGGAGGAACUGGUGGAGCAGAACAGCCUGUCGUGCCACUGUUGCAGCUCUCGUGAGGGCCAGGCUGAGGCACGGCGGCAUCCCGGGAAGAAGCAGCAGGACCACCAGGGCCACCCCAAGGAGUCAGCAAAGAUUCCUUUGCCUCUGGGUGCAGCACCUAAGGAGACACAACGUCCAGCAGCUGCUGCAGCACUUCCAGGCCCAGCCAGAGCAACACUGCAGAAGGACAGCGGCGCUCAAACGGACACCUCAGACCUGCUUCUGGCUGACGCUGAAGCUACCGGGAGGCAACGCCACUGUGCAGUGCCUGACAACAUCUCAAAGCCACAGCUCAGUCAGAUGUCUUGCAUGCAGGUCUCCGUGCACACAGCCAAAAAGUGCCUGGACGUCAAUCUCCACGUCUUCCCUGAGGCAGUUCGGAGGCCCACAGAACUGCUGCAGCAUCCACAGCCAACACAUGGUGCCCCGGUCUCCACACUCAAAAGGAAGUGCCCCCUCCAUCCUGACCAGGUCCCGCGGCAGCAGCAUGGGGCCAGGGCACCAGGAUGCCACCGCGCUCCCACGUACUUCUGCAGCCGUGAGGCUUGGUUCCUGCCCGAGGAGGAGCGCGAGGCCCUGGAGCUGCACACCUGCUCCAUGAAGCAGAAGCACCCUGGGAACCAGCCAGCAGCGUCCUGGGAGAAGGAGUCCACCAGCACAUAUAAGACUGCACCAUCUGAGGCAGACUGGGCUGAGGCAGGUGCCAAAGGACACAAGCGGUGGCCCUGGUGCAAGAAUUGCCCUGGGAGAGGCGAGAGCACCUGGAGCACCAAAGCAGAACGCAGCAGCUCUCCACCUGGCAGCGUAACGUUCUGAGCAGCACAGGUUGAACACCAC